GGGCGUUGAUGAUUCCAAUCUUCGUGAAAACCUCCGGUAGAAGCAUUCCGGCGACACCAAGCAUCGCCCACCGCCCAUUCACCAGCUCCGCUUGUACAUACCACCUCAAAUUCUCUGGGUCUUCCGCUAAUCCCAACGGGUCAAAUCCAUUGUCGCCGGGAAGACUGAAUUUCGAUUAAUCAAUUGGAUUAGAGAAAACCCAAAUUUACAAAUUCCCAAAGUAAAUUAGGGAGGUGAAAAUUACCUGCCGUUUAAAUACAUCGGAGAUGGGAGACCAGGCAACCAUUCUCCUUUCUUGGCUUCAACCUUGAAAGAUGAAGACGAAGAAGCAGAAACUGGCUUAACCGAGAGCACACGUUGGAGUUUACCGGAAGAACCGGAAAGGAAUCUUGAUCGGGCGGCACAUGGCCGGAAAACGGCGGCAGAAGCUUGAGUGGUGACAGUGGCCAUUUCUCCUGAAUGAUGUUUUGGAUUGAGGAAGAAAAUGG
This 488-nucleotide long non-coding RNA is filed under the name Cucumis sativus (cucumber). RNAcentral describes it as "long non-coding RNA (CSAT_LNC000039)". The record is from RNAcentral. Lineage: Eukaryota; Viridiplantae; Streptophyta; Magnoliopsida; Cucurbitales; Cucurbitaceae.